AACCUUUGGAAACCGAUGCUAAUACCGCAUAACCACGUUGUUCGCAUGAACAACGCUUAAAAGAUGGCUUCUCGGUAUCACUUAUGGAUGGACCUGCGGUGCAUUAGCUUGUUGGUGGGGUAACGGCCCACCAAGGCCAUGAUGCAUAGCCGACUUGAGAGAGUGAUCGGCCACAAUGGGACUGAGACACGGCCCAUACUCCUACGGGAGGCAGCAGUAGGGAAUCUUCCACAAUGGGCGCAAGCCUGAUGGAGCAACACCGCGUGAGUGAAGAAGGGUUUCGGCUCGUAAAGCUCUGUUGUUAAAGAAGAACACGUAUGAGAGUAACUGUUCAUCACGUGACGGUAUU
Molecule: ribosomal RNA, 349 nt
Filed under: Limosilactobacillus fermentum
Lineage: Bacteria; Bacillati; Bacillota; Bacilli; Lactobacillales; Lactobacillaceae
Description: bacterial SSU rRNA
Rfam family: Bacterial small subunit ribosomal RNA
Source: RNAcentral